RNAcentral lists this ribosomal RNA (836 nucleotides) under Nocardioidaceae str. IM-7747. RNAcentral describes it as "bacterial SSU rRNA". It matches the Rfam family "Bacterial small subunit ribosomal RNA", at positions 38 to 889 of the family's 1533-position model. Lineage: Bacteria; Bacillati; Actinomycetota; Actinomycetes; Propionibacteriales; Nocardioidaceae. The record is from RNAcentral.
GGCGGCGUGCUUAACACAUGCAAGUCGAGCGGAAAGGCCCUUCGGGGUACUCGAGCGGCGAACGGGUGAGUAACACGUGAGCAACCUGCCUUCAGCUCUGGGAUAAGCCUGGGAAACUGGGUCUAAUACCGGAUAUGACCUCUGCCUGCAUGGGUGGUGGUGGAAAGAUUUAUCGGCUGAAGAUGGGCUCGCGGCCUAUCAGCUUGUUGGUGGGGUGAUGGCCUACCAAGGCUUUUACGGGUAGCCGGCCUGAGAGGGCGACCGGCCACACUGGGACUGAGACACGGCCCAGACUCCUACGGGAGGCAGCAGUGGGGAAUAUUGCACAAUGGGCGGAAGCCUGAUGCAGCAACGCCGCGUGAGGGAUGACGGCCUUCGGGUUGUAAACCUCUUUCAGCGGGGACGAAGGCGUGAGUGACGGUACCCGCAGAAGAAGCGCCGGCCAACUACGUGCCAGCAGCCGCGGUAACACGUAGGGCGCGAGCGUUGUCCGGAAUUAUUGGGCGUAAAGAGCUCGUAGGCGGUUUGUUGCGUCGAAAGUGAAAAUCCGGGGCUUAACUCCGGACUUGCUUUCGAUACGGGCAGACUAGAGGUAGGCAGGGGAGAGUGGAAUUCCUGGUGUAGCGGUGGAAUGCGCAGAUAUCAGGAGGAACACCGGUGGCGAAGGCGGCUCUCUGGGCCUUACCUGACGCUGAGGAGCGAAAGCGUGGGGAGCGAACAGGAUUAGAUACCCUGGUAGUCCACGCCGUAAACGUUGGGCGCUAGGUGUGGGGGACUUCCACGUUCUCCGUGCCGCAGCUAACGCAUUAAGCGCCCCGCCUGGGGAGUACGGCCGC